AUGCAUGAACUUGGCGAUACAGGGACUGAUGAUAAUAUUAUAGGUUCCGAUCUAUCAUUUGAGGAUUUUGAUAUAUCAGAACCCUCUCUUAAUCUUCCAACUCCCCCUACGUAUUUAUACUCAGGCGUGGCCUCGCAGGCUUAUAUUUCAAACACUUGUCCUAUCUCUACGCACGGUGGUGCGGAAGGAGCUUCUAAUCUCGUCAGUGGCGAGGGAAUAAUGACACAGAUUUCAGCGUCACCCAUGGAUAUUUCCGCUAUUACCAAGCCCAUUCUAGACGCUAUCGACUUGUUGUUAAAGAAUGCUUUCGAAGCUUUAGAUGCCCCUACAUUAACAGAUUCUCAGUGCCAUGAGAUUUUUCAGGUAGUUCGGUCGAUGCUCCCUGCUGGUGACGUUGUUCCCCAAAUUCCCCUACCGUGCGGCUUGGGAAAUAUUUGUUUCGAUAUCAGAUUAGUGCAAGAAACCCGCAGAACCAUUGAGGAUCAGUCAAAGCAAAAGUGUGAAUUUGUUACUGCAGCAGAGAGAAGGGCUGAAUCCAUUUAA
Molecule: ribosomal RNA, 543 nt
Filed under: Triticum aestivum (bread wheat)
Lineage: Eukaryota; Viridiplantae; Streptophyta; Magnoliopsida; Poales; Poaceae
Description: partial small subunit ribosomal RNA
Source: RNAcentral